Long non-coding RNA from Numida meleagris (helmeted guineafowl), 488 nucleotides. The record is from Ensembl. NCBI's taxonomy places the organism in Eukaryota, Metazoa, Chordata, Aves, Galliformes, Numididae.
CCAUAUAGAUGAUCUUGGCCCUAUAGCGAUGCUCCUGAUCCCAUAUGGCUGCUCCUGGUCCCAUAUAGAUGUUCUUGGCCCUAUAGCGAUGCUCCCGGUCCCAUAGAGACACUCCUGGACCCAUAGCGAUGCUCCUGGCCCUGUAUAGGGAUGCUCCCAGCCCCAUACAGACGCUCCCAGCCCCAUAGCAUCGCUCCGGGCCCCAUGGGACCCCCAGCAAGGUGAUGGGGGGGGGGUGUUACAUGUGCCCCCCCCCUAAAUUUGCAGAGCUCCUUCCUGGGUUGGGGGGGGGGGCCAACCAAGGGGUGCAGCCUCAGUCCAUAUAGCAACUCCCAGCCCCAUAGCAUCCCAGCCCCAUAGCAUCCCAGCCCCAUAGCAUCGCUCCAGGCCCUAUGGGAACCCCAGCAGGGUAAUGGGGGGGGGGAUUAUGUGUGCCCCCCCCCUAAAUUUGCACUCAGAGCUCCUUCCUGGUCGCGGGGGGGGGGGCA